This 253-nucleotide ribosomal RNA is filed under the name uncultured bacterium. Its description in RNAcentral is "partial 16S ribosomal RNA". It matches the Rfam family "Bacterial small subunit ribosomal RNA", at positions 524 to 776 of the family's 1533-position model. The record is from RNAcentral.
UACGAAGGGUGCAAGCGUUACUCGGAAUUACUGGGCGUAAAGCGUGCGUAGGUGGCUUGUUAAGUCUGAUGUGAAAGCCCUGGGCUCAACCUGGGAACUGCAUUGGAAACUGGCUGACUAGAGUGCGGUAGAGGGGUGUGGAAUUCCCGGUGUAGCAGUGAAAUGCGUAGAUAUCGGGAGGAACAUCUGUGGCGAAGGCGACACCCUGGGCCUGCACUGACGCUCAUGCACGAAAGCGUGGGGAGCAAACAGG